UUGGAUUGCAUCCCAUUGGUCAGAUCUUUUCAACUCUUGACUUUUAAAUUUGUGCUUAGUAUUAGUCUCUUCAUCUCCUCCCGACUUCUUUAAUUUCAAAUCUCUCCCUCCUUUUAAAAUCUUCUUUGCUUGUGUUUGUUUUCUAAGCUCGGACCAUUUUUCAAAUUAGAAACUUUGGCCUUAUGCCAUUGUAUUUUCAAACUCUUUUCUUAAAUAAACUUGUAAAUAAACUUAACUAUACUUGACUUAAAAUUU
RNAcentral lists this long non-coding RNA (255 nucleotides) under Lathyrus oleraceus (garden pea). RNAcentral describes it as "Pisum sativum (pea) long non-coding RNA (PSAT_LNC037367)". Lineage: Eukaryota; Viridiplantae; Streptophyta; Magnoliopsida; Fabales; Fabaceae. The record is from RNAcentral.